Molecule: ribosomal RNA, 467 nt
Filed under: uncultured bacterium
Lineage: Bacteria
Description: partial 16S ribosomal RNA
Rfam family: Bacterial small subunit ribosomal RNA
Source: RNAcentral
GAUGAACGCUGGCGGCGCGCCUAACACAUGCAAGUCGAACGAUUAAAGCACCUUCGGGUGUGUAUAAAGUGGCGAACGGCUGAGUAACACGUGGGCAACCUGCCCCUUUCAUUGGGAUAGCCACGGGAAACCGUGGAUAAUACCGAAUACUUCGAGACUUCCGCAUGGAAGACUCGAGAAAGCUCCGGCGGAGAGGGAUGGGCCCGCGGCCUGUUAGCUUGUUGGUGGGGUAACGGCCUACCAAGGCAAUGAUGGGUAGCUGGGUUGAGAGACCGACCAGCCAGAUUGGGACUGAGACACGGCCCAGACUCCUACGGGAGGCAGCAGUGGGGAAUCUUGCACAAUGGGCGAAAGCCUGGUGCAGCGACGCCGCGUGCGGGAUGAAGGCCUUCGGGUUGUAAACCGCUUUCAGCAGGGACGAGGCGAAAGUGACGGUACCUGCAGAAGAAGCCCCGGCUAACUACGUG